ACCCUCUCAGGGUCACAACUGGAGAGUUUCCAGUACUCUGCCAGUCUCGACUACGGGAGGGAGAGUCAAGCAGAGGCAUAACCAUUCCGUUUCUAGUUUGGGCAGUAGCUAGCAAUUGGAAGACAAUCUGCUACAACU
Tachyglossus aculeatus (Australian echidna) is the source of this 138-nucleotide small nucleolar RNA. The record is from RefSeq and is a predicted model, not a curated record. Lineage: Eukaryota; Metazoa; Chordata; Mammalia; Monotremata; Tachyglossidae.